UGUUGGUUUCAUUGUUGAUGGCGUUGCGAAUCCAUAGGCUUGUUCUUUCAAAUGAGGGGGGAAGUCCUUAUAAAAUCGUGAUUGUAUCACUUUAAGUGCUUCCAUGGCUAGCUCCAGAGGAUUUAUGGCCUUGUGUGAUAAUCCACUGUGAAAGAGUUUCCCUGUCACAUGAAGUUUCCAAGGUAUCAUACCACCAGUACCAAUGCAAGGUUGUUUGUCUGCUGUGUCAAUCCAGAAUAGAGGACCUCCUUUUAGCUUAUUAAGCAG
This 267-nucleotide unclassified non-coding RNA is filed under the name Hevea brasiliensis (rubber tree). The record is from RNAcentral. Lineage: Eukaryota; Viridiplantae; Streptophyta; Magnoliopsida; Malpighiales; Euphorbiaceae.